AAGGUAUAUCAUGAUGGUCAUAUGAUGAAUGAUAAUUUCAAUACGUAAUAGACACCAGGCAUGUAGUACCUCCAAUGCCUACUUAGAAUAUUAGACUCAUUAUCACGAUUCUUAAUGGAAGGCUAUGAUCAAGUUAUCCUAUAAUUUUAUCAUUUUAUGGACCUAAUAAUUUAGAAGAUUUGAUUUCAUUGAUCUGAGAAUAAGAAAAAAAUUCAACCUGCAAGCUGCAAAUCCUCCCACUGACUUCACCAAGUCAUGUAAAGGAUUAGACACAAGCUAGUUUAAAGACACCUAAAUCAGUCACACUGAUUCACUUUAAUGGCAUGGGUCUGCACGAAUCGACUAGUGACCUAAUCAAAAUAUAAUUUACCAUAUUGGCCAGAUAAGUGAGAUCUGUGGGAGGGAUGUGCCUUUAACUCACCGUAGAUACAUCUAGGUGAAUAGCUCCCAAUUAAAAAUCACUUGAUCGAAUCUACCAAACUUGGCUUAGGGACCAAUUGAUUAACUAGUUUUGAUUUGAUUUACCAAAAGAUUCGAGCUUAACCACGGAGCCAUGAUCAUGGUCUAUUUAUUAGAGUCAAACACAUGGACUUGAUCAAACUUUAACUAUUGAGAUUGAUUUAGAAAAAUUAUGAUCUAAUCUAAUUCAAU
Molecule: long non-coding RNA, 651 nt
Filed under: Elaeis guineensis (African oil palm)
Lineage: Eukaryota; Viridiplantae; Streptophyta; Magnoliopsida; Arecales; Arecaceae
Description: long non-coding RNA (EGUI_LNC050681)
Source: RNAcentral